AGGCACGUAGCUCAGUUGGUUAGAGCACCACCUUGACAUGGUGGGGGUCGUUGGUUCGAGUCCAAUCGUGCCUA
Molecule: transfer RNA, 74 nt
Organism: Neisseria sp. oral taxon 020
Lineage: Bacteria; Pseudomonadati; Pseudomonadota; Betaproteobacteria; Neisseriales; Neisseriaceae
Rfam family: tRNA
About the family: Transfer RNA (tRNA) molecules are approximately 80 nucleotides in length. Their secondary structure includes four short double-helical elements and three loops (D, anti-codon, and T loops).
Source: Rfam